CAGUAGCCACGGGAAUACAGAGGGUGCGAGCGUUAAUCGGAUUUACUGGGCGUAAAGCGUGCGUAGGCGGCUUCUUAAGUCGGAUGUGAAAUCCCUGAGCUUAACUUAGGAAUUGCAUUCGAUACUGGGAAGCUAGAGUAUGGGAGAGGAUGGUAGAAUUCCAGGUGUAGCGGUGAAAUGCGUAGAGAUCUGGAGGAAUACCGAUGGCGAAGGCAGCCAUCUGGCCUAAUACUGACGCUGAGGUACGAAAGCAUGGGGAGCAAACAGGAUUAGAUACCCCGGUAGUCCCUGUCUCUUAUAU
RNAcentral lists this ribosomal RNA (301 nucleotides) under uncultured bacterium. Its description in RNAcentral is "partial 16S ribosomal RNA". It matches the Rfam family "Bacterial small subunit ribosomal RNA", at positions 509 to 809 of the family's 1533-position model. The record is from RNAcentral.